GGGGCUGACUUUUGGUUUCGACUUCGUUUGUUAAGCCAGGGGAAGCGUGCCGGUGCAGGCAACGACCACCGUGAGCGUCGUAGCAACUUAUUAAGCGCCGAGAAUACUCAGCGCGACUACGCACUCGCUGCAUAAAGCGACUGCCUAGUCUGUCGGCCCAGGUUUGCCUCUGACCUGGUUACCGGCAUCGACUAAGAGGCUUGGGUUUCUCCCGCGUCGGCGGGGGAGGAACCGACAUUUUACCGUCGACUGGGCUCAUCAUCCGGACGUGUUUGCCCGAGCCGGAGAGCCGAGUAGAGAUGCCAGUGCGAACUGCGCACGGAGAAGCCCUGGCUAAAUGACGAAGGACCCGGGUUCGAUUCCCGGCAGCUCCACGA
This is a non-coding RNA of Corynebacterium glucuronolyticum ATCC 51866, 377 nucleotides long. NCBI's taxonomy places the organism in Bacteria, Bacillati, Actinomycetota, Actinomycetes, Mycobacteriales, Corynebacteriaceae. The record is from Rfam.